Small nuclear RNA from Sorex araneus (European shrew), 107 nucleotides. NCBI's taxonomy places the organism in Eukaryota, Metazoa, Chordata, Mammalia, Eulipotyphla, Soricidae. The record is from RefSeq and is a predicted model, not a curated record.
GUGCUGGCUUCAGCAGCACCCAUAAUAAGCGUGGAAUGGUACAGAAAAUAUGAGCAUGGCCCCUAUUCAAUGAUGACACACAAACUCAAGAAGUGUAUCUUUUUUUU